Long non-coding RNA from Biomphalaria glabrata, 486 nucleotides. RefSeq lists it as uncharacterized. The record is from RefSeq and is a predicted model, not a curated record. The transcript is spliced from 3 exons. Lineage: Eukaryota; Metazoa; Mollusca; Gastropoda; Planorbidae.
UGGGCGGUGGUCCACGUCGUCUAUGACUGCUAAUCAAGACAGUCUGAAAGUGGAAUCUAAUCUAGAUCUAAAUUUUUAUAUGAUGCAGUUCCAUGCCCUGGGCCCCCCUUACAUGGAAUUAUGGAUGUAUCACACUCACGAUAAUUGACAAAUUAAAUGACCUAUCAUGAAGGUAAAACAGUUUCUGGACAGUCUGACAGCAAAACCUUUUCUUUAAAAUCAAAUAUAAAACAUGCAACUAAGAAAUAAAAGUAAAUUCUUUUUCAUGAAGUCUGGAUUUGUCCUGUGGACUACAAAAAUUGUUGUCUCCAUCAUUGUGAAGCUCAAAAACUGAACAAACACAAAACAGACAUGGGAGGGCUCCAUUGUCAGACUACCCACCUAGGAUAAGGAAAACUCUGAAUAGAAACCUUUGCUGCCUUGUGGCUAUACCCAGACAUACUGGUAAGAAAGGCUUCGGGAAUCAACCCUGAGGAAAAGCUGGUA